RNAcentral lists this ribosomal RNA (254 nucleotides) under uncultured bacterium. RNAcentral's name for it is "partial 16S ribosomal RNA". It matches the Rfam family "Bacterial small subunit ribosomal RNA", at positions 524 to 776 of the family's 1533-position model. The record is from RNAcentral.
UACGUAGGGGCCUAGCGUUGUCCGGAUUUAUUGGGCGUAAAGAGCUCGUAGGCGGUUCGGUAAGUCAGGUGUGAAAUCUCCACGCUCAACGUGGAGGCGCCAUCUGAAACUGCCGUGACUCGAGUCCGGUAGGGGAGUGUGGAAUUCCUGGUGUAGCGGUGAAAUGCGCAGAUAUCAGGAGGAACACCAGUGGCGAAGGCGGCACUCUGGGCCGGUACUGACGCUGAGGAGCGAAAGCGUGGGGAGCGAACAGG